RNAcentral lists this ribosomal RNA (253 nucleotides) under uncultured bacterium. RNAcentral describes it as "partial 16S ribosomal RNA". It matches the Rfam family "Bacterial small subunit ribosomal RNA", at positions 524 to 776 of the family's 1533-position model. The record is from RNAcentral.
UACGAAGGGGCUAGCGUUGCUCGGAAUCACUGGGCGUAAAGCGCACGUAGGCGGCUUUCUAAGUCGGGGGUGAAAUCCUGGAGCUCAACUCCAGAACUGCCUUCGAUACUGGAGAGCUCGAGUCCGGGAGAGGUGAGUGGAACGUGCGAGUGUAGAGGUGAAAUUCGUAGAUAUUCGCAAGAACACCAGUGGCGAAGGCGGCUCACUGGCCCGGUACUGACGCUGAGGUGCGAAAGCGUGGGGAGCAAACAGG